AUUGAACGCUGGCGGCAGGCUUAACACAUGCAAGUCGAACGAGUGGCGGACGGGUGAGUAACGUCUGGGCAACUGCCUGAUGGAGGGGGAUAACCACUGGAAACGGUAGCUAAUACCCCAUUCAAUCAUAUGUUCCCAGCUGGGAUUAGCUUGUUUGUGGGGUAACGGCUCACCAAGGCGACGAUCCCUAGCUGGUCUGAGAGGAUGACCAGCCACACGGGAACUGAGCCACGGUCCAGACUCCAACGGGAGGCAGCGGGGGGGAAUAUUGCACAAGGGGCGCAAGCCGGAUGCAGCCAUGCCGCGUGGAUGAAGAGGGCCUUCGGGUUGUAAAGUACUUUCAGCGGGGAGGCGGUACCCGAAGAAGAAGCACCGGCUAACUCCGUGCCAGCAGCCGCGGUAAUAC
Molecule: ribosomal RNA, 406 nt
Filed under: uncultured bacterium
Lineage: Bacteria
Description: partial 16S ribosomal RNA
Rfam family: Bacterial small subunit ribosomal RNA
Source: RNAcentral